RNAcentral lists this long non-coding RNA (212 nucleotides) under Elaeis guineensis (African oil palm). RNAcentral describes it as "long non-coding RNA (EGUI_LNC076858)". The record is from RNAcentral. Lineage: Eukaryota; Viridiplantae; Streptophyta; Magnoliopsida; Arecales; Arecaceae.
ACGGUGACUUGCAAGCAACUCACUGCACUUAGGCACUAGACUACCUGAAUUUCUAAUUUAGUGACGGAAGGUUGCUGGGUGUAGUCAAGUACUUGACUUGUCGGUGCGUGUGUCAAGAUGGGAUUGACCACUCUAGUUUAGGAGCUGUGUACAAUCGUGUUUCAAUUUAGUAAAAUCUUGGCUAGGGUAGUCCUAGUGAGGAGUCACAGGAC